AGAAGGAGCUGAGUGAUGACUAUAAAGAAAGGAAGUUCGGAUGACAGAACAAAACUCUGCAGUUGUUCUUCAGAGCUGGAGAUAUUAUGGGAGAACAUAGAGGAAGUCCAUGGGGAUGGAGCAGUUUGCUGUGUGACAAACUAAGUUACAGUGAAUGGAGGUUUUGGCCAUCCACAGAUGAAAAUGGAUGAGCAGAAAAGGUGCAAAGUGAUACAGCCGCACCUGCUGCGAGUGCAGGGCUCACUACCCCACCCAGAACAUCCAGGCACUCAACAGGCUGACCCGAAAUCAGGAGGAAUACCAGCGGCAGCACCUGGGG
Molecule: non-coding RNA, 319 nt
Organism: Pelodiscus sinensis (Chinese soft-shelled turtle)
Lineage: Eukaryota; Metazoa; Chordata; Testudines; Trionychidae
Source: RefSeq, a predicted model, not a curated record